AUGGGAGAAGAAAAAUUAGAAAAAAGUAAAUUGACUCACAAAACACACUUACCACACAGUCAUAAACGAGUUCAUAACACCUUGAUUGCAUAAACUGGGAUUUAAGGUUUUCCAUUUAUUAAUUUUGGUGAAAAAAUCGAUUUGGACAGUAACUAUUUCAAAUUUGUUAACUAACGUAAUUAAAAAAAGAGACAAAAGUGGCAACAGCAUAUAACAGAUGCUGACAAAUACUUGAGAUUUGGUAGUAGUGAAUAUGGUGUACGUACACGUCGUACACACAACAGCAUCAGAGCAACGUCACAGCGACAGCAUGGUGAUGCGAAUGUACGGACAUACGAGAAGUAACAACAACAUAAGGUAAACGAUUUGAAUGUUUUAGUGUGACUGUGACAACAGCCCAUAUGGUGUCAAACCAUUCCCAGUGUCAGAACUAAAAUUGUUGCGCUAAGAAGCUAGAAUUUAAUUUUUUAGUUUUUGCACUAGGAAUCGUUCACAAACCGACCAAGCAAUACCAGAAUCCGGAAUAUAUGAAUAUUUUGAGAGUGAACAGUUGAAACGGAAUGUAGAAAAGAUGACAUAAAUCUAAAUGUUUACUCGACCCGAAAACAAAUCAAAGAAACCGAAAAUGGGAGAUAAUAAACAAAAACGAUCAUCGUUUACACAUUUUACUUGUGUUAAAAUUACCAAUCCAACUAUUCAAGAGAAUUAUGCGAUAUUAAAAGAUAGCAUACUGAGCAAUGAGAAGAUAAAAAAUGUCCCAGAAGCGGUUUUCAUGAGACAAAAAAGACUUCAUAUAACAUUCGGGAUGAUGCUCAAAAAUCACGAUCAAUGUGCAUGGAUUGGAAAUAAUGAAUGAAAACUCGAAUAGGGCACGAGUAGUCUAUGCAAAAAUUGAAUCAGAAGCUCUACAAAAGUUGCCGUUGGCAUUACCAGAGCAUUCAUGGAUGCAGGUUGAAUAAAAGGAUCGUUUUCCAAUUUGCCCCAACUACGAACCGGUCCGCAAUCGUGUUCUUUCCGGCACAAAUUAAAUGAAUCUUUUCCUCGGCCGUCCUUCUACGAGUUAUUAACGCUUUGUGAUUGCCUUGGCAACCAGUACUAUUCCACAGUAAGUAUUUUGUUUUUUUUUCUCUUUUCACAGUAAUCAACGAUAUCAACAGUACUACUACUGCUACUACCAAAUCUCAAAUUUAAAUAAUGUUGUGGUGGUCAUUGAUUUUGCCAGAGUAAUGAAACGACAACAACAAUAACACGCAUUUUUUGUUGGCGAAAUUUCCACUCCAGAUCGUCACGACAUUGGUGUUUUUAGUAAGAUAUACAGAAUCAGUACGUAAUGCGUAAAACCAUAGAACAAAAAAUGAGUAAAAAUAAUACUCGCAAUCAAGAGAAAAAGUGAAAAUAAAAGUCAAUCAUAAAAUGAGUGAAAAUAAA
Long non-coding RNA from Contarinia nasturtii (swede midge), 1428 nucleotides. RefSeq lists it as uncharacterized. The record is from RefSeq and is a predicted model, not a curated record. NCBI's taxonomy places the organism in Eukaryota, Metazoa, Arthropoda, Insecta, Diptera, Cecidomyiidae. The transcript has 4 exons.